This 277-nucleotide ribosomal RNA is filed under the name uncultured bacterium. RNAcentral describes it as "partial 16S ribosomal RNA". It matches the Rfam family "Bacterial small subunit ribosomal RNA", at positions 219 to 507 of the family's 1533-position model. The record is from RNAcentral.
UGCAGGAUGAGCCCGCGGCCUAUCAGCUUGUUGGUGGGGUAAUGGCCUACCAAGGCGACGACGGGUAGCCGGCCUGAGAGGGCGACCGGCCACACUGGGACUGAGACACGGCCCAGACUCCUACGGGAGGCAGCAGGUGGGGAAUAUUGCACAAUGGGCGAAAGCCUGAUGCAGCGACGCCGCGUGAGGGAUGACGGCCUUCGGGUUGUAAACCUCUUUCAGCAGGGACGAAGCGAAAGUGACGGUACCUGCAGAAGAAGCACCGGCCAACUACGUG